GAUGAACGCUGGCGGCGUGCCUAAUACAUGCAAGUCGAGCGAACGGACGAGAAGCUUGCUUCUCUGAUGUUAGCGGCGGACGGGUGAGUAACACGUGGAUAACCUACCUAUAAGACUGGGAUAACUUCGGGAAACCGGAGCUAAUACCGGAUAAUAUUUUGAACCGCAUGGUUCAAAAGUGAAAGACGGUCUUGCUGUAACUUAUAGAUGGAUCCGCGCUGCAUUAGCUAGUUGGUAAGGUAACGGCUUACCAAGGCAACGAUGCAUAGCCGACCUGAGAGGGUGAUCGGCCACACUGGAACUGAGACACGGUCCAGACUCCUACGGGAGGCAGCAGUAGGGAAUCUUCCGCAAUGGGCGAAAGCCUGACGGAGCAACGCCGCGUGAGUGAUGAAGGUCUUCGGAUCGUAAAACUCUGUUAUUAGGGAAGAACAUAUGUGUAAGUAACUGUGCACAUCUUGACGGUACCUAAUCAGAAAGCCACGGCUAACUACGUG
This 497-nucleotide ribosomal RNA is filed under the name uncultured bacterium. RNAcentral's name for it is "partial 16S ribosomal RNA". It matches the Rfam family "Bacterial small subunit ribosomal RNA", at positions 28 to 507 of the family's 1533-position model. The record is from RNAcentral.